Molecule: long non-coding RNA, 443 nt
Filed under: Mytilus galloprovincialis (Mediterranean mussel)
Lineage: Eukaryota; Metazoa; Mollusca; Bivalvia; Mytilida; Mytilidae
Source: RNAcentral
CACUUUAAUGGCAAUGUUAAAUAUCAUAUUAAAAUGACAACAAAAUAUUAGAGGACUACAAUACAAAUAAAUAGGAGAACGUAUUAGGCAAAGAAAAACAUGAAUAAUAGAUAACAGAAGGCUUCAAGUUUUAAAUUCAAUACACCAAAAACGCGCCUCUUCCACACAAAAUUUACCAGUGACGCCCAGAUAUAAAAGUUCGAAAAGUAAAAAAAAGUACAAAAUUGUACAGCACUGAGGAUCAAAAGUUGAAAAAGGUUGUGCCAAAUGCAGCUAGGGUUUUAAGAAAACAGUCACAAAAGAGGGACGAAGGAUACCAAAGGGACAGUCAAACUCAUAAAUCGAAAAUAAACUGACAACGCCAUGGCCAAAAAUGAAAAAGACAAACAGACAAAAAUAGCACACACAACAUAGAAAACUGAAGAAUAAGCAACACGAACCCC